Molecule: non-coding RNA, 803 nt
Filed under: Asiemphytus rufocephalus
Lineage: Eukaryota; Metazoa; Arthropoda; Insecta; Hymenoptera; Tenthredinidae
Source: RNAcentral
AAAAAGUUUGAUUUUGGCUUUUAUAUUUAUGAUAUAAAUUUUUUGCAUGUAAAUUUUUGUGUGUUAAAAAAAAAAUUUAAAUAAUUUUUUAAAAAAUUAAUUUAUUAUUUGCAGCAUUUAAUUUUAAUAAUUAAAGUAAUUUAGAAUUAUAAUUUAUUUUAUUAUAGGUAAAUAAUGUGCCAGCAACUGCGGUUAUACAUUUUUAUAAAAAUAAAUAUAUAUUUAUUAAUUAAUUUAAGUUUUAUUUUUUUAUUAUAAUUUAAAAUAAAUUAAAUUAGGUGAAAUUAUUUAAUUUAAUUAGUUAUUUUUAUAAAAUUUAUAAUUAAGAAAUCUUUAAUUAAACUAGGAUUAGAUACCCUAUUAUUUAAGAUUUAAAUUUAAUUGUAGAAGAUUAAUAGAUAAGUUCUUUAAAUUUAAAAAAAUUGGCGGUAUUUAACUCUAAUUAGGGGAAUUUGUCUUUUAAAUGAUAAUCCGCAAGAAACCUUACUUUAAUAAAAAAUUUAUUUAUUGUCGUUAUCAGAUUAUUUUAAAAGAAAAAUUAAUUUUCUAAAUUAUUUUUAUUAAUAAUUAUUUCAGAUCAUUAUGUAGUUUAUAUUAAAGUUAAGAUGAAUUACAAUAAAUUUUAUUUAGAUGGAAAUUUUAUUGAAAUAUAAAAUUGAAGGUGGACUUAAUAGUAAAAAAAAAAAUUAUAUUUAUUUGAAUUAAGAAUUAAAUAUGUACAUAUUGCCCGUCACUCUCAUUCUAAAAUGAGAUAAGUCGUAACAAAGUAGAGAUACUGGAAAGUGUUUCUAGAAAGAUUUUUU